UUUAACGGACUUGGCGGCAAGAUAGCUUUUUAGAGGAACCUGCCCUGUAAACGAUGAACCACGAGGGCCCUACUUUUUUUAGUAAUAUCCAGUUUGUAUACCUCUGUUGUUAGUUAGAUUCUUGAGAGUAUUUUCAUAUAUGAAAAAAUCAUUGACUUCAAGUAAAGGUGCAGCUUAUAGAAAAGAUAGAGGUGGGUUACAUUUUAAAGAUAAAGGCGUAUAAGAUAAUUUAAAUAGUCUUUGAAGAUGGAUUUAACUGUAAAACUUAAGAAAGUUUGAUUAUAGCUCUAUCUUGUGUACACAC
Molecule: ribosomal RNA, 304 nt
Filed under: Mesolasma sp. 3 BKKC-2017
Lineage: Eukaryota; Metazoa; Arthropoda; Thecostraca; Balanomorpha; Bathylasmatidae
Description: partial 12S ribosomal RNA
Source: RNAcentral